Molecule: ribosomal RNA, 301 nt
Filed under: uncultured bacterium
Lineage: Bacteria
Description: partial 16S ribosomal RNA
Rfam family: Bacterial small subunit ribosomal RNA
Source: RNAcentral
CAGUCGCCACGGUAAAACGAAGGGGGCUAGCGUUGCUCGGAAUCACUGGGCGUAAAGGGUGCGUAGGCGGAUUUCUAAGUCAGGGGUGAAAUCCUGGAGCUCAACUCCAGAACUGCCCUUGAUACUGGAAGUCUUGAGUAUGGGAGAGGUGAGUGGAACUGCGAGUGUAGAGGUGAAAUUCGUAGAUAUUCGCAAGAACACCAGUGGCGAAGGCGGCUCACUGGCCCAUAACUGACGCUGAGGCACGAAAGCGUGGGGAGCAAACAGGAUUAGAUACCCCUGUAGUCCCUGUCUCUUAUAC